CCAGAGGAAAACACGGUAUGUGAACAAGAGGAAACUGGCAAAAAAAAAAUGUGAUGUGUAGUUUCAAAGGAUUUUCUAAACUUCAGCAGGACGUGACCCUGCAACGAUGGGUGAAUUAUAGGAGCUGAUAGGCUGCGGUUGUGAGACAAGAGAAAGCAUGUUGAUGCAGGUCCUGUAACAGAGGGUGGAAGUCUGCUUUCUGAGGUGUUUUUAGAUUGGCUUUUAGUGCUUUACCUCUUACUGUUUCAACAAGAAGUGUAGCUUUUGCCUGGCCUUUAGAAAAUUCAGGAAUGCAGUGCAAAAGGCUGAACUUUGAGGAGUUGUUAUUUUUUUUUUUUUCUAAUCCUCCACCUGGCUGUGCAUAGGGGGUUGAGUACAUGUGUGAGAUCUGUGACUUAGGUAGCCCUAAGCUGGAAUUCAGCUUUCAGUAGGAAACUGUGGAUCCAUGUUUCCAGUUUUUAAUAGUUGCUUCUGGGCAUUCUGGUGAAAUCUGACUACAGAUUGGGCUUUCCUUUUUGCCGGAGGAAAGACGAUGCAUUCACAGCAGUAAAUCCUAGAUUUUUGCAUUUAUGGUUAAUUAACCAUAACACAAGUAGCAUAGCAAGCAGUAGCAAUGUUCAUAGAUAACAAAGGGAUUAAGAAAGAAAGAUUGGAUUAAAAAAAAAGAAAAAAACAACAACUGAACUGUAACCAAAACCCAGAGCAUAAUAUCAAAGCCAUGUAAAAAUAGUUGGAGGUAGAAAUCGCUUUGCUGUAGCACAGGAGGAUUUACAGUGAGGCAUUAGAAAAUGUUAUCAUGCUUUUUCAUGCUAUUACAUGCUGCUCUGAAAUAUAAAAUGAAGAUGGAUCUCUGUCCGGAAAGAAUUUACUAUUUUUUGUUAUCUGCAACUGCAAAUUGAUGCCAUAUGGGCAAACUUGUAAACAGGGGACAGGGAAGCUUUCUGUUUUGCCUCAUACAAUAAAAUACUCAUGCAGCUUCCUCCAAGCAGUAGUGCAGGGAGACAUGAUUUUUCUUUUAAAAUUUUAUGCUAAACCCGUUUCUUAUUUACAUCUAAGUAUGUGUGCUUUGAAUAUCUGAAAAUUCGUUUAUCUUUAGAAACAUAAUGAAGACCAGUCUUGUGGAGAGAGGGUGCAUCUCUCAUUAAAUCAAUUAAUGCAGUUGGAAACUAUAUGUUUUCUUGCUACUUAAAGCCUUGUUGGAAUAAGUUGGUAACAUGCUUUACUUUCAUAAUUUGUUUAAUAUUAUUAUAAGAUUACUUGGCCUUAUCUUUAGAGUUUUGUUUGAUAAAUACCUUAUUUUAUUUGUUUCAGCUUACGUUAGCAGUGAUUUCCUGACCUCUGCACUGUUAAUUGGUAGAUAAUCUCAGUUAUAACAGGCUGCCAUCAGUGACCUUGCAGUCCCUGUAAGAAUGAAUAUUUGAAGAGGUUUUCUUCUUACGAGCUUAUAAUAUCUGUGAGUGUGGGGUUUUUUUGUAUUCACAGCAUAUCCAAAUCCUAAUUACAGACCAAUUAGUCUGGGUUCAAGUCCUUUAGAUCUAGUAUCACAGGAUUAAUGAAAAGAAAAUGAAUGGGUAACAAUAUCGUUUCAUAUGGAGAUAAGGAUAGACUGAGCAUGAAUGAGGAUCUCAUGACAUCCAAGGAAAGAAUUUCCUCAUUCUGUCAAUGAAGUUUUAUGGGAUAUGGUGAAAGGAUUAUGGGAAUAUUCAUGACCAGAUCAAGAGGCAUAAGGAGUUGAUGUAUGAACCAGCUUAUCUUUUAGGUAAACACAGGGUAAAUGGGAAGUAGAAUAGCCAUUCAUUGCCCCUAGGCCUAUGAUUUUCAUUGAUCUGAAGAUGGAAACAUGUUCAGUUACAGUCGUUCUUUGUUGAUACCAUUUGAUUUUUGGAUCAGUUUUUUAACAGGUGGCAACUUCAGCUCUGCUUUGAAAUUUUCAAAGACGCUGUGCUCUUUCUAGAUGCAAUAGCACAUAUUUAAACUUGUGAAGCACCAUAUAGUAAGACAGUAGUCCUUCCAGCCUACUGGAGCAUUGCAUAAAGGUACUGGGGUAAUUGAGAAUGAUACAGAAAUAAUUUGCCAGCGACCGAAUGCUUUUAAUCCAAGGCUUACUUCUUCGUGGAAAAAGUAUCGCAAUACAUGGAAGGAGCAACACAUCACUUAGUUUGUCUUUUUAAUUUCCUAGUGCAGUGUUUGUGUCUGAAACCCAAGUGAUAUUCUGGGUUUGAUGUGUUUGUACUCCUGUAAAUUAGAGCACGUUUUGUUUUCAGGAAGGCUUAAGCCAGUAAUAUUCUUAUCAAGUUGUCAGUGAAAACGAUGCAAAUUUGGGUAUGCAGUUUCUCUAUUACACACAGAAGUGAACUGCAUUCAAAAGCUUCUUUAAAUAGAGGCAUUUAGCCUCACGUGGUGCUGGUGAGCAUAUUGACCACUACCCAGAACUGCAGACACUCCACUUCUACUCUUCAGAAAACUGCCACACAUUUAUAUUUACUGAUUUAUUAAGGUGCGUACUGUCACUGCAUAACUCUGCUAUUUCCCUAUUUAAAAAAUAAGUAAAUUUAGCAAUCUGUUUCUUGGUGCUGCUGCUAGGGGUACAAUGCUAGCUGCUGCUGCUGCAGAAGGCUUGCUGCUGCUAGGAGUACAAGGCAGAGUGUGAGGAACUGCUGCUAUUUGGCAGUCAUUGUAACUGCUCUUUCUUAAGAAUAGCUAGCAUGUUUUUUCAAAGCACUGAAUUACCUCGAGACUUCAUAAUUAUUACAGUUAAGCAAUCAUUUCAAUUCAGUCCAAGUAUAAACUAAUAAAGUACCUGCAAUAAAAAGUUCCCUGAACAAACACAGCUGAUUCAGUACAUUUUGGAGGAAUAAAUAUUUGGUAUCCUGUUAUUUUAAUAUGCCCUAAUCAGAAAAUUAAAAUAGCUUUUGUUGGCACAAACCUUUUUUAAAGGUGAUAUAAUUAGAGAUUUUGCUGAUGCUAUUAAUUUUCAAGACUUUAAUAUGACAUAAGUGAGCAGUUGAGUAGGGAAAAUAUUUGCGUUUAAUACUGCUAAAUCUCUUUGCUUUCACAAAGCCAAUGGCUUGAUCAAUGUAAAAAGCAUAUUUGGGAGGAAAUGUAUCAGCUUACAUAUAUGUAGUAACUAUAUGCAGAUAAUAUCAAAGCUAUUAAGAGCUCUAAUCUAAUGAGAUCUGAUCUCCAGUUACCACUGGGAACUGCUGCUCACUUUUGGAGAGGGAGAUGCAGGAUUAAUAACAUUCAAAAAUGGGUUGAUUCUGUCCAAAGUCAAAGGGUGGUUUUUUUAAUGCUAAUUUUAUAAGCAAUGGCAGAGCAUCCAUAUUGUGAGCUGUGCUUUGUAGCUGGCUAAAUAGCGUUGUUGGCUUUGUUGCAGAAUAGGUUUACAUACUGACAUGUAAAAGAGAAAUACCUACUUUUCUACAUCAAGAAUAUAGCAGUUCUUCAAAUUAACUUCAUAGGGAUGCAAUGAUCAUGGGACUUUUUUUUUUCAUUGUCAGCAUUCAAAGUUUAUGUUAGCUGAACUGAAUCAAGACUUCUUUUUUCUUGUAAAAAUCAGCUACUGCUGUUCCACAAUUUCCAAAUAUACAGCUUUCACCCUCAUACUGUAACCUUCAUUUAAUACCAAAGCCAGCAGGUGCUCUGUGGUAGUAGAUAAGCACCGUUGGGGAAGGGGACACUGAAGUGCUGAGAGUAGAAGGGAUUUGCCCUUCAUCACCUAAAUACUGUACUUUACAGAUGGAAGUCCAAGGCCUCUUCAUUCCCUGACAGGCUGUUUUCCAUCUUUUACUUCAAAUUCCAGUUAAAAAUUCUCCACUUCUACAAGAUCAGGGCUAUGGGAUUUUGUUGAGUUUUGCCACUAGUACUCCUCUAAAGUGGGUUCAGCGUUAUCUGUGGGAUUGUGACUUGGUUACUAGAUGAAACUUUCAGUUCCCUUGAGUACGUUCCUAUUGCACUCCUGUGUGAGGUCCUGUUUUUCCUUCCCCUAUUAUGUAUCCUAUUUUUAAGGAUGUCAACUCUGUUUCCUUUCUGUUUUAAUGUUACUUCAGCAAAGCCCAUUUACAAAUAUGGUAUUGAUAAAGAGAAGAAAACAUUAAUAUAUAGUGAAUUUAAAUUUAUAUAGAAAGAAUAUAUAAAAGUUUUAUAAAAGGAAGAAAGAAAAACUCAAAACUUUUAUCUCUAUGAAACUUACAGGUCUCAUCCAGUAGUAUUUUUAUUUUAUGGGGGGGAAACAUUUCUUACAUGUUUCUUCUCUCUAACUUAAUUCUGUGCAUCAUAACGCUUCCCACCCCUUCCCUUAUGCUCUUGACCUGUGCUUUUAUCAUGGCUAUAAUCACACGCAGAAGAAGCUUCAGUGAGGACAUGGUGAGAGAGAAGCAGGAAAGCUUGCAGGCUUUCAAUUACAAUUAGGUUCUAAACCCUGCUUCGUAAGCUGCUUAAUAAAUCAAAUAGGUUAUGUGGUAACAAGUAUUGAAUGGGACUGGGAGAAGAGUUGGUGAGAAUGCCUAAAAAUCUGUAUUUUUCCCAGUCCCCAUUGCCUUUUUAUUAGUGCUGUUUGAAACUGUGUUCUAGUAAUGCUUUUGUAAAGAAAUAAGCUCCCAGCCUUAUUGUUUUAUAUAAAAUGAGGCUCUGCCCACAUCCAUCUAGUUACUGCCCAAAUGCAAGGAAGUGUAAGCCUUAAACACUCUUAAUACUGUGCAUUGCCCCCCUUGCGUAUAGGGGUUUUGAAUAUUGAUGUUUGCUUCCCUGAAAUUCUGCCUGAUGGAAGGUCACUGGCUUUUAACUCUUCUUAGAAUGAUUCGUGGCGUUUGUGACACUUGCUUAGGGAAUUGUCCCUAUUCUCCACAGCGUAGCAGGUGUAGGGCAGUUGUGCUCUGCAUGACCUCAUGGAAGCCUCAGUUUUUUGAAAUACAAGGAUAGGAUUUCCUUUCUAAUGUAAGGUUGCUUUGGGAAACUUUAGAGUUAUUAAUAAAGCGUGAUAAUCGUGGAUUGUGUUUGCAGAAGUUCUUCAAAGCGAUGUGGAAAAAUUGGAGUACUUAGAUGCUUUAAUUGCAAUCUCUUUAAUUCCUCCAGAAAAAGUUCGGGAAAUCCAGGAAAAACUUGAAGCCUUCAUAGAAGCCCUCCAUCAAGAAAAAUAGAUUGUCAAGCAGCAGCAACUUACCACAGGAAUGCAGACUUUUCGAGGAUACCAUGCACAAAGAAGGCUGAACAAAAAUGCUUUCGUGUCCCAUUCUGUAUCUGACCUUUUGGGGGAGCAUUGUGAAACACUGGAGAAAAAAGAAAAUAAUGUCUCCUGAGAUUGAGAAAUUCAAUCAAAACCGGCCUAUUUUUUUUUUUUUUAAUUUUUUGAAGCUAUGUGUCUGUGACAGAAGAACCUGAUUUGCGUCUUGAUGAGAUAGCCUGGAAGCUUGCCAGAGUUCUACAUUUAAGAGUUCUUUUUUCCUGAUAGGAAAAAAUGCUUUUGUUGUUGUCACCUGUCUUGUACAGUGGAGCUGGAUCAGAUUCAUAAAGGGAUUUUACCUGUUGUCGGUUUCUUGGCUGCAAAUGCUCUUAGAAGUUUGACAUAAAGUUUUUAUAUUUAUGUGUACAUUAAAACACCCUUCAAAGUCAUGCCUUUUCUCAGUUAUGCUCUGUUAGUGAAACAGUCUCUGAUCACUCUGGUACAGAUUUUAAGCAUGGUGUUGAGAUAUUGAGGGGAAAUUGUGAAUUUUGUUAAACUCAAAACUCUUGAGAGACGUCAUUCAAGGAAUUCCAGUGCUUUCAAGUGAAAGUGCAGACUGCUGUUCACUGACACCUUAAAAGGUUUGGCUCAGGAAAUGAUACUAAUGGGGGCUUUUUUUUUUACCAGUUCUUUCCUAAUUGUUGUUGUUCCUUGGAAUCAUGGCCGAUUACAUUUCAUUUCUGCCAUUGCACAGACUGAUCUCCUUUUUAAAUCUUCCCUUUCCAGUAGCCACAAAGUAAAUUGAUUGUGUAAAAUACAGAAAGGUAGCCUGUACAAUUCCAACAAGUCCAACCUUUUGAAGUAAAAAAAGCAAAAAUAAUUACUUCGAUGUUUCUAACAGCUACUGUAAGACCAAAAUGGCUUUGAUAUGAAUGCUGCGCACAAAGUCCCUCCAUAACCACGUGAUAUCUGUAAUGCAAUACAGUAAAAAGAAAAACUAAGUAUAGUCAUUCUUCUCCUGCAUUUUAGUCACUUCUGACAAAUGUAAGUAUGAUAUAGGCUCUGUAUCGUAGGUGCCUGGUGAUUAAUCACUAUACUUUUCUGCCCACGCUUCGCAACAGAUGAUCUGGAUACACUUCUGAAUACUUCUGUGGAAGAAGAUAUUAGGCUUUACAGAACUUGUUUUGAAGUUGUCUCAUUAUGAAGGUUGAAAAAUUGAUGUAGGUUUAUUUUCCUUUUUGGAAAAGGCUAUUGAUUUCUGACCUCCUGGCAAUUAGAAGAGAGGAGCCUGACUCUUUCAUAACAGUUACUGUGCCUGUUUGCUCACAGUGAAAACAAUAGAAAUUUAGGUAAGAUGUUCCCCAGAUAUUGAGAUAAUUAAGUACUUAGGCUAUUGUAUGAAAACUUAACAUAGAGCUAUUCAUAUAAAGUUGAGAAGUUAAAUACUGCAAGGUGAUCUUACUGCUUGGGGAUUAUUUUUGUUGUUGUUUAAAACUGCUUUUCUGUAAAUGAGUUUUUAAGAAUGGAAAAAUGAAAAAAAGGCUUCUAUCAUCAUCAUUCUCUGACAAUAACUUUAGAGAUGUAUAUUUGCACAGUUCUGAAAGAAGAUUCCAUAGGCUGUACAGCAAUUGAGAUAAGUCUGUACUUGCGUUAAAUUCCUCUUUGUAUAAAAAAAAAUACACAAAACUUUUGCAUUUACGUCAAGAGAUCACUGUCAGAAAAUUCUGUGUAAUGUAAAUGUUGCAAAAUAUUACAUCUAGUGGUCCAGUAUUCAUCUCUCAGUGUGAUGUACCUGUAGUUCUAGUUCCAACCUCUGUGCUGCUCAUCUAAGACUUAGCAUGAUGUAUUCCAUGGCAACUAGGUAUUUAUUGAGUAAAAAUGUAACUGAAGGAAAAAUAAAAUGUGGAUUUUGAACACAGUACUAUUGUA
Molecule: non-coding RNA, 7090 nt
Organism: Meleagris gallopavo (turkey)
Lineage: Eukaryota; Metazoa; Chordata; Aves; Galliformes; Phasianidae
Source: RefSeq, a predicted model, not a curated record